Molecule: non-coding RNA, 45 nt
Filed under: Trichobilharzia regenti
Lineage: Eukaryota; Metazoa; Platyhelminthes; Trematoda; Strigeidida; Schistosomatidae
Source: RNAcentral
GUCCAGAUGAUAAGUCCCAAAUAGGACUAAAUGCGCAUCCUGGAU